GCCGGGAGGAGGGGAGUGAUGCCUGAGGGCCUGGGGCUGGGGAGGGGCACAGCCGGGCCCCAGGGCAGGGUCUGGCAGGGACUGGGGAAGGGCCCUGAGUUGGGUCAAGGCUGGAGAGAAGCCAGGCCUGCCCACUGGUCUGGAAGGGAGGCCCUUGAGGGCUGCAGUGGCCUGGUGCCCAGGCCAUAUCACCGGGUACCUGGCCAGGGGAGACCCCCGAUUCAGUCUCUGACUCACAGAACUCAGCAGGGGACAAGGAAGUAAAGCAGCCGACAUUCAUGAAACCCUCGGUGGAUGCUGGCCGCACUGGGAAGUCAAGGAUCAGGCGAGAAGGCAAUGGUACCCCACUCCAGUACUCUUGCCUGGAAAAUCCCAUGGAUGGAGGAGCCUGAUAGGCUGCAGUCCAUGGGGUCGCUAAGAGUCGGGCACGACUGAGCAACUUCACUUUCACUUUCAUGCUUGAUCAGCCAGAGGAUCUUCAGCCCCGACCCUUGUCUCCACCUUCCGAACCCAGGAAAAGUCCACCGGGGAGAAUCUGACCGGAGACAAGCGCGGCCUGGGUGGAGGCCCAGCCCUGCCACCUCCCAGCAGGGUGAUUGUGAAGAAAUCUCUUAACCUGUCCAGGCUUCAGCUUCUCCAUCUGCACUUUGGGGAUGAUAAGACACAAUUCACGGCACUGUCCUGAGGCUUAAAGGAGGGUAAUUCAAGCUGUUCGCGCAGUGCCUGGCCCCAAGAUAAAAUACACCAAAAUUCCUCUGAGGGGCUGCUGACACCGACUGCCCUUUGAGCAUCCCCCUGUGAUGAUGGUACUAAAACAGGGACUAGGAGUUACUUGUCAACAGUGUGUAUGUUGGACUUGCAUUUGUGUUUAUUUACAUGUCAGUUACAGGCCUGAGAGAAAAGGUCUUGUCUUGCCUCUUUGGCACAGGUUCAGAAAUCUCACAUGGAUUGUGGAAAUAAAGUUUCUGUUGUGUUUGAAAAAAAAUACACCAAAAGUUGAGUAUUAUUAUUUUUUAUUAGGC
Long non-coding RNA from Bos taurus (domestic cattle), 1022 nucleotides. NCBI's taxonomy places the organism in Eukaryota, Metazoa, Chordata, Mammalia, Artiodactyla, Bovidae. The record is from Ensembl.